CCUACGGGUGGCAGCAGUAGGGAAUUUUCGUCAAUGGGCGCAAGCCUGAACGAGCGAUGCCGCGUGCGUGAAGAAGGCCUUCGGGUCGUAAAGCUCUGUUGCGGGGGAAAAAAGGCAGCAUCAGGAAAUGGGUGCUGACUGAUGGUGCCCUGCCAGAAAGUCACGGCUAACUAUGUGCCAGCAGCCGCGGUAAUACGUAGGUGGCGAGCGUUAUCCGGAAUGAUUGGGCGUAAAGGGUGCGCCGGCGGUCCUGCAAGUCUGGAGUGAAACGCAUGGGCUCAACUCCUGCAUGGCUUUGGAAACUGGAAGACUAGAGAGAAGGAGAGGGAAGUGGAACUCCAUGUGAAGCGGUGAAAUGCGUAGAUAUAUGGAAGAACACCAGUGGCGAAGGCGGCCGCCUGGCCUGUUGCUGACGCUGAGGCACGAAAGCGUGGGGAGCAAAUAGGAUUAGAUACCCGGGUAGUC
This 465-nucleotide ribosomal RNA is filed under the name uncultured bacterium. Its description in RNAcentral is "partial 16S ribosomal RNA". It matches the Rfam family "Bacterial small subunit ribosomal RNA", at positions 338 to 795 of the family's 1533-position model. The record is from RNAcentral.